Molecule: unclassified non-coding RNA, 279 nt
Filed under: Hevea brasiliensis (rubber tree)
Lineage: Eukaryota; Viridiplantae; Streptophyta; Magnoliopsida; Malpighiales; Euphorbiaceae
Source: RNAcentral
AUUUUUAUAUCAAUAAUAUAUUAAUAACUCAGUCAAAAUACAAUUAUUUUCAAAAAAAAAAUGCUUGUUAUGCUUAAUAUUUUUAGUUUAAUUUUUAUCUGUUUUAAUUCUGCCAUUUUUUCAAGCAAUUUUUUCUUUACAAAAUUGCCCGAAGCCUACGCCUUUUUGAAUCCAAUCGUAGAUGUUAUGCCAGUAAUCCCUGUACUCUUUUUUCUAUUAGCCUUUGUUUGGCAAGCUGCUGUAAGUUUUUGAAUAAAUCAUGAAUUAUUCUAGAACAAU